RNAcentral lists this long non-coding RNA (789 nucleotides) under Lepisosteus oculatus (spotted gar). RNAcentral describes it as "lncRNA (ENSLOCG00000021973.1)". Lineage: Eukaryota; Metazoa; Chordata; Actinopteri; Semionotiformes; Lepisosteidae. The record is from RNAcentral.
GGUUCACAGAGACGAAUGCGCAGGCCUGCCUGUUCACGGUGUCGCAGGGCUGCACACCCCCCCAGAAGACCAGACAGUUCCAGCUGUUGUGGGAAGUCAGUGGAGGUUUUACAAGCUGUUGUCUGAACAUGCUGCAGAAGCCCGUCACUCAACAUUGCCCUCACUAACACCCGCUUCUUUCCCGCGGUGACUCAGCCGCCCCACAGGAAGGGCAGCGGGGGGGAGGAGGGCAGAGGGAGGGGCAGUCCUGGAAGUCAGGGGUGAGGAGUCCCGUCUGCUGACUCACACGCCUUGGUCGGGGUUUUAAGGAGAUCGGGGGACCCCUCGGUGAGUCAGCCUCUCAGGGCAGGCAGGGGUCAGUGGGUCACUGUCUCGUGCGUGGUUCUGUCUUCUAGCUCCGGUUCCAGCUGUAUUCACUAAUCAUUUGCGGUCUGCGAGAGCCAGCGAAAAGGAGGAUGGAAAGAUAUUGACUCCCAGAGGCCCCUGGACAGAUGUGUACCAGGGCCCAAAGGUCAGACCCUGAUUGAUUAGUACCUGGCCAUGAUCUCAUGGAAGGCACACAGCUGCUGACGGCUGGGGAGUGAGGAGUGAGAUGAGACGGAGUGAGGAGAGGGAGAUGGAGGAGUGAGACGAGACGGAGUGAGGCGGAGGGGAUGGAGGAGUGAGACGAGGCGGAGUGAGGCGGAGGGGAUGGAGGAGUGAGACGAGACGGAGCGAGGAGAGGGAGAUGGGGGAGUGAGACAAGACGGAGUGAGGCGGAGGGGAUGGAGGAGUGAGACAAGGCGGAGU